UUUUUACCAAACAGGUUACUUUGAACUCAGGAACAAGGUUAGAUUGUCACCUUUAUAUGCUCAGCUCUUAGCCUAGUUCCUGGCACAGAAUGUCUCAAACAAGUGACGCAUUAGUAGGGUGCUGUUUGUAAACGUUCCUUCCGCGUACCGUGGCGAGAUGUGCUAAUUACAAGCCAGCGACGUAGACUCGGAAAGAAAUCCAGAAUUUACGGACGCUGCAGGACUCUCGGUCUUUCUUUCACUCCUAUCUCUAUGGUUAGCAAGUGACCACUCUACACUCUGGAGGACUCAGCGAGCGCAGAUGAGCCCUAGGCGACCUUAUUGGCGCGUGACCGGAAGUCUGACUUGCUAUUGGUUAAUGCUGGUAAAGCCCGCCCAACAGCCUCCUGUCAGCUCCUUUAAGUAGACUCCGCGGGGAAGCGCUCAGUCUUUCGGCGACUGUGAGGUUCGACAGAUUCCUGCCGGGCCGAGAACGUAGAUCACCUUCUACUCCCCUUCGACCUUUCCCCGAAGCCUUUGAAUAAAAUGGUUUGAUCCCA
Long non-coding RNA from Felis catus (domestic cat), 539 nucleotides. RefSeq lists it as uncharacterized. The record is from RefSeq and is a predicted model, not a curated record. The transcript is spliced from 2 exons. NCBI's taxonomy places the organism in Eukaryota, Metazoa, Chordata, Mammalia, Carnivora, Felidae.